RNAcentral lists this ribosomal RNA (255 nucleotides) under uncultured bacterium. RNAcentral's name for it is "partial 16S ribosomal RNA". It matches the Rfam family "Bacterial small subunit ribosomal RNA", at positions 99 to 354 of the family's 1533-position model. The record is from RNAcentral.
CGGACGGGUGAGUAACGCGUGGGGAACCUGCCCUGUACAGGGGGAUAACACUUAGAAAUAGGUGCUAAUACCGCAUAAGCGCACAGUAUCGCAUGAUACAGUGUGAAAAACUCCGGUGGUACAGGAUGGACCCGCGUCUGAUUAGCUGGUUGGCGGGGUAACGGCCCACCAAGGCGACGAUCAGUAGCCGGCCUGAGAGGGUGGACGGCCACAUUGGGACUGAGACACGGCCCAAACUCCUACGGGAGGCAGCAG